This 940-nucleotide long non-coding RNA is filed under the name Cricetulus griseus (Chinese hamster). RNAcentral describes it as "lncRNA (ENSCGRG00000025326.1)". Lineage: Eukaryota; Metazoa; Chordata; Mammalia; Rodentia; Cricetidae. The record is from RNAcentral.
GAGGAUCUCUGUGUUCAAGGUUAGCCUGGUCUACAAAGAAGCUACACAGAGAAGCCCUGUCUUGGAAAAACAAAAGAAAGCAAACAACCCCCCCCCCCAGAAAAAACCUAACCCUAAAGGUUAAAUCUAAUCUGGUUUAAAUACUCAGUGACACAUGUAACAGAAUCUAGGUUAGAUUAGUAACUCAGUUUCUAAAUUCAAUAGCUCAGUAACUGUCGAAAACUGUUUUCUCUGCCUUUUCAUUUUGUCUUCCUCACAGACCUAAAACAGUGGCUGGUUUUGCAGACAUCUUUGCAGGUAACCUCUUCAAUCAGAAAAGGGUGUGUCUUUACCUGCCGUUUCUCAGUCCACACUCCCUUUCUCAGGUAUGAACCAGGUAAGUCGGCUGGAUCCUAUCCUACUGAAACCCCAAAAGAUAGGUUCUACACAUGUGGGUGCUAGGAUUUGAACCCUUUCUUCUGAAAGGACACUGAGCACUCUGAAGCACUGAGCCCUCUCCUCUCUCCAGCAUUUAUGAGGUUCACUGUGUCCCAGCCUCUGUGCUCAGUGCUUUACACAUAUACUGAAUUUCCAGUCACUCCUUGAUCUGCUGCUUUACUGUCCAUUCUGCUAAUGAGGACACGGCAGCAAUGGAAAAUACAUGGCUGUGACCAGGGACACUCAGCUGGUUAGUCUAGAACCUGCUAGAAAUUUAGUCAGGUGAUUCAAACAUGUUGAUCUUGUGGCCUUCCUAGCCUGCCUAGGCUUUCUUCAUAGUAUCUAUCUGUCUGUCUGUGUGUCUGUGUGUCUGUCUGUCUAUCUAAUCAGAUAUAGAAACAUGUAUCUGAGACUGUGUGUGUGUGUGUGUGUGUGUGUGUGUGUGUGUGUGUGUGGUGUGUGUAUUACAAGCCUUGCUAUAUGUCUUCUGUUACUGGCAGCUGAAUACAACACUUAACUGGAA